Molecule: ribosomal RNA, 1567 nt
Filed under: Phyllostomus hastatus (greater spear-nosed bat)
Lineage: Eukaryota; Metazoa; Chordata; Mammalia; Chiroptera; Phyllostomidae
Description: 16S ribosomal RNA
Rfam family: Bacterial large subunit ribosomal RNA
Source: RNAcentral
GCCAGACCUAGCCCAAACCCAAACAAACAUAACUUCAACCUACUAACUAAAACAAAACAUUUAUUUAAACCUUCAAAAGUAUAGGAGAUAGAAAUUAUAAUAAGGCGCUAUAGAAAAAGUACCGCAAGGGAAAGAUGAAAGAAGACAUUAAAGCAACAAACAGCAAAGCUUACCCCUUGUACCUUUUGCAUAAUGAUUUAACUAGAACAGCUUAGCAAAGAGACCUUAAGUUAAUCGCCCCGAAACCAGACGAGCUAUUCAUGAGCAGCUUUCCAGAGCAAACUCAUCUAUGUGGCAAAAUAGUGAGAAGACUUAUGAAUAGAGGUGAAAAGCCUAACGAGCCUGGUGAUAGCUGGUUGUCCAGAAAAGAAUUUCAGUUCAACUUUAAGCCUACCAAAAAUUAUCCUAAAUUUACUGUAGACUUAAAAGAUAAUCUAAAAGGGGACAGCCUUUUAGAUACAGGUUACAACCUUCCCUAGAGAGUAAGCAUAUAAACCAAACCAUAGUUGGCCUAAAAGCAGCCACCAAUAAAGAAAGCGUUCAAGCUCAACGACCCAGUUACCUUGAUCCCAACAUUAACUACGCUAACUCCUAGAACUAAAACUGGACCAUUCUAUAAUUAUAUAGAAGAAAUACUGUUAAUAUGAGUAACAAGAAUUUUAUUCUCCCCGCACAAGUGUAUAUCAGAACGGAUCUCCACUGAUAAUUAACGUACAUAAAGCAAGCCAAACAACAAGCCCUUUACAUCCCCUACGUUAACCCAACACUGGAGUGCUUCAAGGAAAGAUUAAAAGGAGUAAAAGGAACUCGGCAAACAUAAACCCCGCCUGUUUACCAAAAACAUCACCUCUAGCAUACCAAGUAUUAGAGGCACUGCCUGCCCAGUGACACACGUUCAACGGCCGCGGUAUCCUGACCGUGCAAAGGUAGCAUAAUCACUUGUUCUCUAAAUAAGGACUUGUAUGAAUGGCCACACGAGGGUCUUACUGUCUCUUACUCCCAAUCAGUGAAAUUGACCUCCCCGUGAAGAGGCGGGGAUAUAAAAAUAAGACGAGAAGACCCUAUGGAGCUUUAAUUAACUAACCUAAGAAUGAACACUAAUUACCGAAAGGAACAAAACACAUUUAAAUAGGUUAACAAUUUAGGUUGGGGUGACCUCGGAGCAUAAAAAAUCCUCCGAGCAACUAUAAGCCAAGACCUACCAGUCUAAGCUACAACAAUCACUGAUCCAAAAGCUUUGAUCAACGGAACAAGUUACCCUAGGGAUAACAGCGCAAUCCUAUUUAAGAGUCCCUAUCGACAAUAGGGUUUACGACCUCGAUGUUGGAUCAGGACAUCCCAAUGGUGCAGCAGCUAUUGAUGGUUCGUUUGUUCAACGAUUAAAGUCCUACGUGAUCUGAGUUCAGACCGGAGCAAUCCAGGUCGGUUUCUAUCUAUUCUAUGUCUCUUCCAGUACGAAAGGACAAGAGAGACGGGGCCUCCUUAAACCUAAGCGCCCUCUAGCUCAACAGAUGAUAUUUUCUCAAUCUAAUAAGCUAUAGCCAUACCACCCCUAGACCAGGGGUCC